RNAcentral lists this ribosomal RNA (499 nucleotides) under uncultured Glomeromycotina. RNAcentral describes it as "partial small subunit ribosomal RNA". It matches the Rfam family "Eukaryotic small subunit ribosomal RNA", at positions 591 to 1092 of the family's 1831-position model. The record is from RNAcentral. Lineage: Eukaryota; Fungi; Glomeromycota.
CCAAUAGCGUAUAUUAAAGUUGCUGCCGUUAAAAAGCUCGUAGUUGAAUUUCGGGACCAAUAUGUCGGUCGUGCCUCGGUACGUACUGGCAUCGUUGGUUUCUCCCUUCUGACGAACCAUGAUGUCAUUUAUUUGGUGUCGUGGGGAAUCAGGACUGUUACUUUGAAAAAAUUAGAGUGUUUAAAGCAGGCUCACGCUUGAAUACAUUAGCAUGGAAUAAUGAAAUAGGACGUUUGAUUCUAUUUUGUUGGUUUCUAGGAUCGACGUAAUGAUUAAUAGGGAUAGUUGGGGGCAUUAGUAUUCAAUUUUCAGAGAUGAAAUUCUUGGAUUUAUUGAAGACUAACUACUGCGAAAGCAUUUGCCAAGGAUGUUUUCAUUAAUCAAUAACGAAAGUUAGGGGAUCGAAGACGAUCAGAUACCGUCGUAGUCUUAACCAUAAACUAUGCCGACUAGGGAUCGUAUGAUGUUAAUUUUUUAAUGACUCAUUCGGCGCCUUACG